AUAUUAAUAAGGGGAGGAAAAGAAACUAACAAGGAUUCCCCUAGUAACGGCGAGUGAAGCGGGAGCAGCUCAAUGUGAGAAUCGACUUCCCAAGCGGGACGUCGAAUUGUAUCCUCUCGACGUACAAUCAGCCACGCAGCCGGUACAAGUUCUUUGGAAUGAGACAUCAGAGAGGGUGAGAAUCCCGUCGAUGACUGGCCCCCGCGCGGCGUACGAUGUAUGUUCAUCGAGUCGAGUUGUUUGGGAUUGCAGCUCUAAAUGGGUCGUAAGUUUGAUCUAAAGCUAAAUAAUGGCGAGAGACCGAUAGCGCACAAGUA
Molecule: ribosomal RNA, 317 nt
Filed under: uncultured eukaryote
Lineage: Eukaryota
Description: partial large subunit ribosomal RNA
Rfam family: Eukaryotic large subunit ribosomal RNA
Source: RNAcentral